This 447-nucleotide ribosomal RNA is filed under the name uncultured bacterium. Its description in RNAcentral is "bacterial SSU rRNA". It matches the Rfam family "Bacterial small subunit ribosomal RNA", at positions 355 to 825 of the family's 1533-position model. The record is from RNAcentral.
UCGGGAAUUUUGGGCAAUGGGCGAAAGCCUGACCCAGCAACGCCGCGUGAAGGAUGAAGUAUUUCGGUAUGUAAACUUCGAAAGAAUAGGAAGAAUAAAUGACGGUACUAUUUAUAAGCUCCGGCUAACUACGUGCCAGCAGCCGCGGUAAUACGUAGGGAGCAAGCGUUGUUCUGAAUCACUGGGCGUAAAGCGCACGUAGGCGGAUUUGUAAGUCAGGGGUGAAAUCCCGGGGCUCAACCUCGGAACUGCCUUUGAUACUGCGGAUCUCGAGUCCGAUAGAGGUGAGUGGAAUUCCUAGUGUAGAGGUGAAAUUCGUAGAUAUUAGGAAGAACACCGGUGGCGAAGGCGGCUCACUGGAUCGGUACUGACGCUGAGGUGCGAAAGCGUGGGGAGCAAACAGGAUUAGAUACCCAAGUAGUCCCUGAGCGGGCUGGCAAGGCGCAU